CACGCGGGAGCAGCACGGGCUCACUGUUGUUGGGCUUUUCUUAUUACGCACGAGUCACGAAUUCACAUGCUACCUGUCAUCGUGGUCCCCACCGACUGCCGAGAUCGUCGUCAUACAUCGUAGGGUCUCUCAUUCUCUGAUUAUCCUGCGACCGACGCGUCGUUUUCGCUGAACAGGCUUCAUUUCUUUCUGCGUCAGGAAUCUCAUAUGUGGGUCCCGCCCCCGAAGAUUUCUAACCAAUCAAAAUUCGAAACGUGUCGGUGGAAUCUGGAAGCGCACAGGGUCCCCCUGAAACUGAACGAGAGAAUUGGUACUUUUGAUACUUCCUUUAUGUUACGGGGAAGCUUUACCUAAUAUAAUAUAGGGUACAUGUUUUCCCACUCUCUGUUUUGGGUAGUGACUCACACGCUCUCUUUACCCACAAUUGGAAACAUAUUUAUUUAUUUAUUUAUUUUUAAUUUCUAUUAUCAUGCCAUAUGUUGGAGGUUUCUUAGCUAUGAAUACUCUAAAAUAAUAUUAAAUGAUUUGAGUG
RNAcentral lists this long non-coding RNA (532 nucleotides) under Citrus x clementina. RNAcentral's name for it is "Citrus clementina (C. clementina) long non-coding RNA (CCLE_LNC006900)". The record is from RNAcentral. Lineage: Eukaryota; Viridiplantae; Streptophyta; Magnoliopsida; Sapindales; Rutaceae.